Molecule: ribosomal RNA, 259 nt
Filed under: uncultured bacterium
Lineage: Bacteria
Description: partial 16S ribosomal RNA
Rfam family: Bacterial small subunit ribosomal RNA
Source: RNAcentral
CGAACGGGUGAGUAACACGUGAAGAACCUGCCCUUCAGUGGGGGACGAACAGUUGGAAACGACUGCUAAUACCGCAUAAGACCACAGUACCGCAUGGUACAGUGAUCAAAGGAUUUAUUCGCUGAGGGAUGGCUUCGCGUCCGAUUAGGUAGUUGGUGAGGUAACGGCCCACCAAGCCUACGAUCGGUAGCCGGACUGAGAGGUUGAUCGGCCACAUUGGGACUGAGACACGGCCCAGACUCCUACGGGAGGCAGCAUG